AUGCUUAUCAGUACUUUUGUGAUUGCUCUCUUAUCCCUAUUUUCAUUGGGAAAAAACUUGUCCUCAUCAGUAACGAAACAGUCAUUCAUUACUAUUCUAAUCUGUGAACACUCACUGUGUGUUGCCCUUAGGAGGCUAGGCUGGCAGAAAAGGGACGGGUCCAAUUUUAAGUGUACCACGAAACCCAGCAGCUGUGCAAGCUCUGAAAAAUGGCUUCACUGCUCUGUGCUCAGGCUCCUCAUCAAACAUCUGGCUUUUAUCACAGAGGCUUCUGGCUGAGAAAUCCAAAUUCAAGCAAAUCCAGCUGUCUCCAGUGUGCUGAUUUAUCAUGUGUUCUUUGUUUCAUAUGAGCUUUGUAUGUGGUCUCUAAACAUUCAUUGCCAGGUAAGAUGAACCUCGUUGGCAGUAGAGUCCUAUACCUUUGGUUUGGAGCAAUGGAAAUAGUGUUGGACUAGGACACAGGAGACCUGGGUCCUUAACCUGCCCCUGUUUUUUAUUAGCUGUGUGACCUGAAAUAAAUUGCUUAAUAUCUCCACUUUCUAUUUUAUUUUAUAAAUGAGGAAACUGCUUUCUGACUUCCUGGCCUUACAAGGUGGUUUUGAGGUAAUUAGGUAACGUGAAUUAGGAAAUUAGGUAAUGUAAAUUAAAGCACUUUUGUUUAAGCACUUUGAACAAAAUGAUACAAGCAGUUAGCACAUUCAAGGACUCAUUAUUGCAGAUAAAACUGGCCAUGGGCUUUUCUUAUAACUCCACUCGGGGCAUGCUGCCAAAUCUAACAAAGUCAAUUCCCAAGCACCUUUUAAAGACUCAUUCACAUACACUCUGCCUUUUGACCUCACCUCCAUACUGAAAUUGUUUUCUUGAAGGUCACCAGUGAUUUUUCUAAUCACUACAUUUAACAUUUACUUUUCCUCAGUUUUCAUCCUCAACUUCUCCAUUGCUAUGAUGCCACUCAUCAUCUACUCCUUGAAAUUUCCUUCCACUUAGGUGAACCUGAACGCUUCAGGCCUCUUUCUGCUGUCUCUAAAUGAUUCUUUUCCACUGAUUUGUUUUUUCUGCUCUUCAAAUAGAGGCAUUCUCCCAGGUUUUGUUCUUGUUCCCCUUCUCUAAGUCCUUGGCAAUUUCUUUUAUUUAAAGUCUUCUUUAAGUUGUGCCACGGUGCCCCUCAGAACCAUCAUGUCCAUUUGAUGUCAGCGUCAUCAUUCCUGCCAUGAUCUACAGACUUGAUCAUGACUCAUUAUAUUGGUAGUCACGGAGGUGAGAAACUUCACCUUCAUUUAGUUUGCUCUUACGCCUCUGUCUCAUCAGUGAUGAAUCCUGCCAAUGUUCCUCCAAAAUAUUCUGACUGCUCCCCUCCCAUCUAGGCCCUCAUACCUCUCACUGGGACUCCUUUAAAACCUCCAACCUAUGGGAGUAAUCAUCCUAAAAGCAGAGCUCCAGUCAUUUCUG
RNAcentral lists this long non-coding RNA (1449 nucleotides) under Callithrix jacchus (white-tufted-ear marmoset). Its description in RNAcentral is "lncRNA (ENSCJAG00000071018.1)". Lineage: Eukaryota; Metazoa; Chordata; Mammalia; Primates; Cebidae. The record is from RNAcentral.